RNAcentral lists this ribosomal RNA (22 nucleotides) under Mucor mucedo. RNAcentral's name for it is "partial 28S ribosomal RNA". The record is from RNAcentral. Lineage: Eukaryota; Fungi; Mucoromycota; Mucoromycetes; Mucorales; Mucoraceae. RNAcentral also lists the same sequence under 32 other names.
CUGAAAUCAGGCGGGAUUACCC